GCAUCUGAAACUUCCCCGCUCCUUGAGGUACAGUUCUGGACUGGGGACACAUGAUGCAACAGGGAAGCAGAGGAAAUCCAGACAAGCUCCCUUUCACCACAGUGGGACUUGUCUCUACGCCUUUGCAACAUUU
Molecule: small nucleolar RNA, 133 nt
Organism: Lepidothrix coronata (blue-crowned manakin)
Lineage: Eukaryota; Metazoa; Chordata; Aves; Passeriformes; Pipridae
Source: Ensembl